AUGGAAGAAAAGUUGAGUAAGAUUGAUGAUUUGUCUAGAAGUGUUGAUAGAAUUUCUCAUGGUGUAGGAAAUCUCAAGAUGAAAUUUUUUGUGCCCAAGGUUGAGGAAUCAAUUAAAGCUAUUUAUGUUUCUAUGGAUGAAAGUAAGAAAAGAACCGCUAUGCUUAGAAUUAGAAGAGAAUUUUUAGAAAAAACGUUUUCUAGUGAUUGCUUUCAUAAAAGUGAUGAAGAUCUUAAAAUGAUUGAUGUUUCUUCUAUUGAUUCCUUGUUUAGUAAAAUUAAGAUUGAUGAAAAAGGGAUUGAAGAAGAGUCAACUUUAGCUAGAAGGCGUCCCGAAAGUUUUGAGGGUGGAAAUCUUAUUGGGAAAAUUGAUAAAAGUGGGAUUGAAGAGGUCAAAACUUUAACUAGUGACGUUCCCACUCUUUUGGAUUACAAAGACUUUAAUUAUGAUAGUUGCUCUUUUAUCGAUUGUAUUUCUUUGUUGCAAUCCAUGAUAAACUCACCCCAUGCUUAUGAACAAAGUAAAGCUUUUACUAAACAUAUUGUUGAUCUAUGA
This 555-nucleotide ribosomal RNA is filed under the name Triticum aestivum (bread wheat). RNAcentral describes it as "partial small subunit ribosomal RNA". Lineage: Eukaryota; Viridiplantae; Streptophyta; Magnoliopsida; Poales; Poaceae. The record is from RNAcentral.